This is a long non-coding RNA of Sander lucioperca (pikeperch), 202 nucleotides long. RefSeq lists it as uncharacterized. The record is from RefSeq and is a predicted model, not a curated record. The transcript has 3 exons. Lineage: Eukaryota; Metazoa; Chordata; Actinopteri; Perciformes; Percidae.
UAUAAGAGGACGAUAUCUGGCUCCAGGUCAGGUCUUCUCCACUCUACAAUGCUGAUGGAGGGAUCAGCAGCCUGACAUGGCAGAAUGACAUCCUGUCCAGUGCGCACUUUCACAAUCUCAUCAGAAUCUGCUGCAGACAGAAGGAACAACAGGAACAUUAAUAUAGCCAUGCGAGAGUGUUGAUCUGCUGUGUUAUUUCUCU